This 429-nucleotide unclassified non-coding RNA is filed under the name soil metagenome. RNAcentral describes it as "partial contains 5.8S ribosomal RNA, internal transcribed spacer 2, and large subunit ribosomal RNA". The stretch from base 1 to 120 matches the Rfam family "5.8S ribosomal RNA", at positions 35 to 154 of the family's 154-position model. The record is from RNAcentral.
GAUGAAGAACGCAGCGAAAUGCGAUACGUAAUGUGAAUUGCAGAAUUCAGUGAAUCAUCGAAUCUUUGAACGCAUAUUGCGCUCUUUGGUAUUCCGAAGAGCAUGCUUGUUUGAGUAUCAGUAAACACCUCAAAGACUUCAAUUUGUUUUGAAUGGCUUUGGACUUGAGCAAUCCCAACACCAGUCUUUACGAUCGGUGGAGGGUUGCUUGAAAUGCAGGUGCAGCUGGACAUUCUCCUGAGCUAAAAGCAUAUUUAUUUAGUCCCGUCAAACGGACUAUUACUUUUGCUGCAGCUAACAUAAAGGGAGUUUGACCGUAUUGGCUGACUGAUGCAGGAUUUCACAAGGGUCGGCAACGAUUCUUGUAAAACUCGAUCUCAAAUCAAGUAAGACUACCCGCUGAACUUAAGCAUAUCAAUAAGCGGAGGA